This 482-nucleotide ribosomal RNA is filed under the name uncultured bacterium. RNAcentral describes it as "partial 16S ribosomal RNA". It matches the Rfam family "Bacterial small subunit ribosomal RNA", at positions 30 to 507 of the family's 1533-position model. The record is from RNAcentral.
AUUGAACGCUGGCGGCAUGCUUUACACAUGCAAGUCGAACGGUAACAGGCCGCAAGGUGCUGACGAGUGGCGAACGGGUGAGUAAUGCAUCGGAACGUGCCCAGUCGUGGGGGAUAACUACUCGAAAGAGUAGCUAAUACCGCAUACGAUCUAUGGAUGAAAGCGGGGGACCGUAAGGCCUCGCGCGAUUGGAGCGGCCGAUGUCAGAUUAGGUAGUUGGUGGGGUAAAGGCUCACCAAGCCAACGAUCUGUAGCUGGUCUGAGAGGACAACCAGCCACACUGGGACUGAGACACGGCCCAGCCUCCUACGGGAGGCAGCAGUGGGGAAUUUUGGACAAUGGGCGCAAGCCUGAUCCAGCAAUGCCGCGUGCAGGAAGAAGGCCUUCGGGUUGUAAACUGCUUUUGUACGGAACGAAACGGCUCUGGUUAAUACCCGGGGCUAAUGACGGUACCGUAAGAAUAAGCACCGGCUAACUACGUG